UUCGGUAUCCUGUGUUGCUUACCCAUGGAAAGGAAUCCGACGGUCUCGUUAGUCCCUCUCCGCCCCCGGCCCUCGCGGGUUGCGGGGCGGACUCGAGGCACGCCCCGUGUUCCCGGCAAGCCUCGCCCAGUCGCUUGGCUGCCUCGGCCCACGGUGCGCUCUGCCCGUUCUCUCGGACGCCGAACGUUAAGCGCGGGCGUGGGGUCUGUCACAGACUCCGUUCGCCCUAGCAACGCAUCUUGUCCCUCGACGCGAACGACCGCCGUGCCCGUCUCGAGCCCGCGGCCUCACGGCCCGUCGUGCGGGCGUCGGYGUCGCGAAGGAACGCUACCUGGUUGAUCCUGCCAGUAGUCAUAUGCUUGUCUC
This 366-nucleotide unclassified non-coding RNA is filed under the name Commiphora edulis subsp. boiviniana. RNAcentral describes it as "partial external transcribed spacer". Lineage: Eukaryota; Viridiplantae; Streptophyta; Magnoliopsida; Sapindales; Burseraceae. The record is from RNAcentral.